RNAcentral lists this ribosomal RNA (444 nucleotides) under uncultured bacterium. RNAcentral's name for it is "bacterial SSU rRNA". It matches the Rfam family "Bacterial small subunit ribosomal RNA", at positions 32 to 507 of the family's 1533-position model. The record is from RNAcentral.
AACGCUGGCGGCAUGCCUAACACAUGCAAGUCGAACGGGAUCCUAGCUUGCUAGGUGAGAGUGGCGGACGGGUGAGUAACACGUGGGAAUCUGCCUUUUGGUUCGGGAUAACCGCGGGAAACUGCGGCUAAUACCGAAUGCCCUCGAGAGAGGAAAGGUUUACCACCUGAGGAGGCGUCUGUUUCCUAUCAGCUUGUUGGCGGGGUAACGGCCCACCAAGGCUACGACGGGUAUGGGGUGUGAGAGCAUGCCCCCACUCACUGGGACUGAGAUACUGCCCAGACACCUACGGGUGGCUGCAGUCGAGAAUCUUCGGCAAUGGGCGCAAGCCUGACCGAGCGAUGCCGCGUGCGGGAUGAAGGCCUUCGGGCUGUAAACCGCUGUCGUAGGGGAGCAAGGGGAAACCUUGAGCGAUCCUAGGAGGAAGGACGGGCUAAGUUCGUG